GCUGCCCGCGCGUGCUCAGAGCGCGCGGGGGGAGCAACGGUUGAAUAACGGUUGAGUAACGGUUGACUAACGGUCGCGCUCUGCCGCGGCGCGCGCGCGGGGCGAGGGGGUGGCCGCGGCCGCCAUGGCGUACUCGACCUUCAGGAAGGUGGCGAUGGUGUCCUGCCUGGUGCUGUGCGUCUCCCUGCUGCUGCCGCGGACCUUCUUGUCUCGGGGUGGCGGGAGGCAGGAGCCCGGCGCUGCGCCGCUCGCAGCGCCCGCGCCGCCCGAGGGGAAGCUUGGUCGGUUUCCACCAAUGAUGCAUUAUCAAGUGACGCCUGACAGCCGAGCUGCCCCUCAUUUUCCAAGGUCCCACCUUGCCGAAGCAGUUGCCAAAGCCAAGGCAGGUGGAGGUGGAAGCAGUGGUGGAACUGGGAGAGGUCUUGUGGGGCAGAUUAUCCCUAUUUAUGGAUUUGGCAUCUUCUUAUAUAUCCUAUACAUUUUAUUUAAGCUGUCUUCUAAGGGAAAAACUGCAGCUGGGGAGCGCAAAUGUCCUCCUGCUGUACCUGGAAACAUGAAGAGGAAAAUCACUGACUAUGAGCUUACUCAACUCCAAGAAAAACUGAGAGAGACUGAAGAAGCUAUGGAAAAAUUAAUCAACAGAGUAGGGCCUAAUUCUGACAGCAGAACACAAAAUGUUACAACAGACCAGGAGAAAAGGUUACUUCAGCAGCUCCGAGAGAUUACUAGGGUUAUGAAAGAAGGAAAAUUCAUAGAUGGCAUCUCUCCUGAGAAGGAAGCUGAAGAAGCUCCCUACAUGGAGGACUGGGAAGGUUACCCAGAAGAGACCUAUCCUGUCUAUGAUAAUUGCUUCAAACGUAAACAGGAUACAAUCCUUGUAGAUUAUCCUGACCCAAACCAGCCCUCUGCAGAAGAGCUGGCAGAAAGAAUGGAGGGCAUGGAAGAUGAGGAUUAUCUGUGCAAAGAAACCCUGCUGUCUAAUCUCACCAUGGAGAGUGACAGCCAUGAUGUAAUGCAGAAGACGAAUGAGGUAACUGCCAUCAGUGACCAGGGCAGGGACCUUCAUGGCAGUCCCGACUUUGAGAAGUGCUGUUACUGUUGCGAGGAGGACAACGAUCCUGCUGUCAUAGCUGAGAAUGCUGGAUUCCACUCUGAGAGCUGCAGUGAAGCAGAAGAGCCAGCCAGAGAGGACCCGUACGUGGAUUCUGACAGUGAAAGUUCGGCACCGAAGGAGCAGAAAGCCCGUGAUUCAGAUGAAACAGGCACACUGAGGAAGCGCAACACAAAAGGACUUGAAUAAUAGGGACAACAUAUGAACAUGCGGUAAUGACAUGCUCAUAAACUGUCAUUUCAUGUGGGUAUUUGUUCUGAUGUUCCUGUUUGCUUUCAUCUCCUCGUACUAAUUUAAUUUCAUUCCCACAGUAAUGAUCGCAUCAUCUCCUAUCUGAAGUGGAAGCCAGUACCCUCUAUCACGCAGUCUUGUCAUGGUUCAUACUGACUUGCCAGUAGCAACUUUGUCUUGCUUUUCAGAGGCUGGUAUGUUGGAGCAGAUUACGCUGCGCAGCUAUUCGUGAUUCUUUCCUUCCUAAUUUCUGAACAAUCAGUUCUUAUUUUUGCCAUUGUCAUCCAAGAGUUAACUAAAUGUCUCUUCUGACAACUGUCUAUCUGCGUCUUCCCUUAUGAAAAUGAAUCAAUAUGUAUUUAUGAGACUAUCAGGAAGAUGGAAGAGGAAAUAUACUUGCUUUCUCUUACCUGGAUGUUAACUGAUUGGCAGAACAGACCACAGUCACACGAGUGACUCUCCUACUCAAUCAUGUUAUUGCUUCUGUAAACCCAAGAAACUGUUGUCACUGCAACCCACAUGCUACUGCAGCCCACAGGACACUUCCCAGCACAUUGUGUGCUACAGGACUAGAGCUCUAAUCUAUUUUGUGCCCCAGGAAGAGCAUGAGAGAGAAUGAAGCAUUACCAGUUGUGCUUUGUCUUUGCCGUAGCCAUUAGACUGCUUGGUGAAACGCUGCGGUAAGUGCAGGAAUCAGACCAUAGCUUGUGUUGCGGAAGAAUACUGAAAAUACCCCUGGGGAGCUACCCUGGGACUUGGAGAGUACUGGAAGUGUAUUGAACAGCUUGUUUAAAUAUGAUGUUUAACAAAAUACAUGUGUAGCCACAGUGUAGCAGCUUUAUUCUGAGAUCACUGGGGCAUAGCUUGGGUGUGUUUGAAAAGACAGAGCGUCUUGGCCUACGCACUCACAUCAGGCUUGUUAAGAUCAAUGGAUGUCUGCCUUUGUGUUAUUUAUAGAGAAUUCCUACUACAAAAACUAGGUCAUACUAAAGGAUUAGGGAAAAUAGCAGAGAAAACAUACUGAAUACUUACUCUGUUCUAUUAGGAGCAUAUUUAUUUUUAAAUCAUUUGAUAAACCACCUUUUGCUUUUAUUUCUGUUUCAAAAUAUCCUGGACUCUUUCAACAUUCUCUUUCACUUUUCACCGUGGCAGCAGUUUGACCUCUUUCUGAACAGAGAGCUCAUGUUUUCUUCGCUGGGAAUCUCUACAGCUGUAAAUACCAGACUAUAGUUCCUCUGCCUUAGUCAGUGUCCUUGAACUGGAGCACUAACAUCACCUGACAUCAGUCACUGAAAUGAAAGUGGUUUCAUGCUCCUUUGCCUGCUAAUACUGUCAUAUACCAGCAAAUGAAGACUUUUAUCACAAGCUUGUCUAGCCACAUCCUUGCAGUGGCAAACACUGUCCUUAUUCAGAAAACUACAUUAUAUUUUAUAUUACUACCAAACAGAGCUGUUAAAGGACUGCCUUCAUUCCACUGCAAAUAGCAUUGUUUUCUCCCCCUCUGAACAACAGGCUCACUGUUUAAACACUCCUAAAAGCUGUAUGCGAGGAAAGACUGCGUGAGGAGAAAGGUGGGACAAGGUGCGUUCCUGGUUCUUUUGCAGUAGCAGAAGAUCAAUACUGUUGCAUGGCCUGCCAUGCAUACAGCCUUUAUUUGGUAUUGCCAUAUGUUUUAUGAUAUGCAUACGCCAAAACUUCUGCGGAUGCGGCAGUAGUCCAACCCCUUGCCAUGAGAAACAAAGAUGCCAUCUCAGUUCUACUGCAGCUUGGGGAAAAAAGGACUUACAGAAUUUGUCAUGUCUGCAGAUAUGUGAUUAUGUACUUCAAAUUCCCAGUGCUUAUAAAGGUAUGUGAAAUUAAAGUAGUUCACUGUUUUUAUUUGAAUUUGUGUUUGAGGUUUGCAGUAUGUUUUAAAACACAUAAGGUAUGUUAUGCAUAAGGUAAUGGUAAGGUAGCAUUUCUAAAUAGAUAUUUUCAUAUAUUGAUAAGUUAAAAUGUAGUAAAUUGCUUUGAGUAACAAAGUUCAUACUCCAAAGUGCACUAAUCAUAAAACUACUGCACUGUGCAUCCAAAUUUUCAUGCUGCUAAGGACUGCUCAAUUAAGGAUGAUAUCCAGCAAGUCACUGUUUGUGUGUAUUGUACUACGCUUCAUAUAGAAACAUGGGGUACAAGUAAACAUUUCUGUUGGCCUUUUUGGUGGCCACUGUUUCUGUACUGGCUAAGCUAGUAGGUGUACCAGGCCUUGACACAGCACUGAAUAUGAAGACACAAGAAAUUUCUCAUACCUAUUUAACUUCUGAGUGCUGCAUCAGUUAUGAACCAAACCCAACAGCUAGGAGCAUAACAUGAAAAACUACUUGAACACAAAAAAGGGAGCUACAUCCCUGAUACAAUAAACUAAUCAGCAGUUUAUUUUGACAUGAAGUUCUCUGAAAGGAAGAACCGAUGACUGUGAACUCCGUUCCACAGAAGGACUUUGGAAUAACAAAGCACAGUAUUUUAGGUGCCCGUUGACCUAGCAGAAAUCAUAGUUUCCAUGCUGGGCAAAGCCAACAGUGGCCACAGUGCGGUAGCGUGAGGCAUUUUUAAAUCUUCACGCUGUGAUUCGGAGCAAGGGCCUAACCUCACUUUUCCCCCUAGGGUGGGCUAACUAGCAGGCUAUAUAGGCUGUUCUCCAUCAGUAUGUCCUCUGGAGCUGUUCCACUUUGCAUUUGUAGUUAACUACGCCUUUUAUCUGUGAGAGAAAUACCAAGAAAUAGAUUCAUGUGUGGCAUGCUAUGGUUCCAAAUUAAUAACAAAGGUUUAAUUCCUAAGUACAGCCUGUUUUUUGACCUUGUUUUCUUCCAAUCUCCCAGUCCUUACUGAAAGAUCUUUUUUCACAGAGGAGUGGAAAUCCAGAAUUUCUCUUCACGCCACUUAGCAUAGGUAAAUAUAGAAUUCACCUCUCUCCUGGGAAUUGGUUUGACCGACUAACAUGAUCACCACAGAGGCAGCCCAUAGCUGCAGAUGACACAGUCACCAAGCACACACUGCACUGGAGUGCAAGAAGGGAAGUAUCUCCAUCAUCAGUACCAAUAUAAAAGGCCCAGUGAGCCCAUACUAAAACAGAAACAAUCAUUAGUACUUCUUUUAAUACCUGCAACACAACUAAAGGCUUGAUUUUCUUUUUUUUUCUUUACAGCAGCAGGAAGAGACAAAUGAUGCUAAUGCAGGUUGACUGGUGCCAAAGACUAAAACAGCUCUAAACAGCUCAGUCACUUGGGCAUCCCCAUCCAAGGAUGCCUUAGAUACAUUCCAGAGACCCCUCUUGCCCUCUGUUGAAAACCACUGAUGUGAUCAGCCACCCAUCAAAAUGCAGGACUACCCACACCUCUUGUUCCUGACAGAGACUUACCUGAAGAAAUGGGGAGUCUCCUGUCAUUGAAAGGUUCCGAGAUGAGAUGGUCCAUGCCAAGGUUCACUAGCCUCGCAAUUAGGAAAUUCCAUGAUGUCUAACCUGAUUCCUCCUUGCUGCAGGUUGAAUUAUUUCUGUCACAGAUUUGGAGGACAGAUGAUUCCCUUCUGCUUUCCAGUAGCUUUUUACAUAUUUGAAGGGGUUUUUUUUUUGUAUUUAUGCAGUUGAUUAUUCCUGCCUAAGUAUAUUCUUUACUCUUGUCCUACUGAACUAUUACCCUCUUAGGUUUUUUUCAGCCCAUUGUGCAGUCUUGUUUUGAUAUAAGUGAGUAGGCCAAAAAUUCAGUCCUUAACAGUAGCUAGAAUUGGAAAGAGCAUUUGCAGAAAUUGCAGCACUGAGGUAGCAAGCACUGCAACUGAUAGUCCAACAAUAGAGAUCUAAGAUAGCAAAUACCUGGGCCUCUACUUGCCCUAUGUUUUUUAGGAAUCUCAUUGUCCUCUUCAUGAAAACAAGCAAGAGGAAUAUUUCUACACUAUGCAUUAAUGUCAAAUCUUAGAGCUCAAGAAAAAAUGAACUGAAAAUGUUUAGAGAUCUGGUAAAGUCAGGGUGCUUUGGUCUGGACUGAUACUACCAGUUAUGUUUUAGUUUUGGAAUUCAUAUCAGCAUUGAAUAGUUUAAACAGUAUUGGAAAUGCCUUAUGAUAACAACCCUCAAAUUCCAUAUAGAUAAUUUAUUAACAUAUUUUCAACCUUGGGUGGGGAAAGACAUUUCAAACAGAUUAAGUUUAAUAUGUUUGCACAGAUGUUUUCUAUUGACAAACACUGGAACCUCUAUGCCAUACACAAUGUAAAUUAUGUGAAAAUACAAAAUUAAUGGUCGCACAUACUGAUAAAUAAAUACAUUUGCUCCAGAAUACUAAAGAGUUUCUUUAAAAAAUUUACUUCAUAAAAGCACAUUCUUGCAGGUUUAUCUAAAACUCCAUAUAGUUCUGAACAAAAAUGAGAUGCGUGACUACUCAAAACAGGACAAGACAGUCUU
RNA transcript from Dromaius novaehollandiae (emu), 5774 nucleotides. It is a transcript of the gene named RIC3 acetylcholine receptor chaperone, with no coding region annotated. The record is from RefSeq and is a predicted model, not a curated record. The transcript has 7 exons. NCBI's taxonomy places the organism in Eukaryota, Metazoa, Chordata, Aves, Casuariiformes, Dromaiidae.